This 467-nucleotide ribosomal RNA is filed under the name uncultured bacterium. Its description in RNAcentral is "partial 16S ribosomal RNA". It matches the Rfam family "Bacterial small subunit ribosomal RNA", at positions 28 to 506 of the family's 1533-position model. The record is from RNAcentral.
GACGAACGCUGGCGGCGUGCUUAACACAUGCAAGUCGAACGGAAAGGCCCUGCUUUUGUGGGGUGCUCGAGUGGCGAACGGGUGAGUAACACGUGAGUAACCUGCCCUUGACUUUGGGAUAACUUCAGGAAACUGGGGCUAAUACCGGAUAGGAGCUCCUGCUGCAUGGUGGGGGUUGGAAAGUUUCGGCGGUUGGGGAUGGACUCGCGGCUUAUCAGCUUGUUGGUGGGGUAGUGGCUUACCAAGGCUUUGACGGGUAGCCGGCCUGAGAGGGUGACCGGCCACAUUGGGACUGAGAGACGGCCCAGACUCCUACGGGAGGCAGCGGUGGGGAAUAUUGCACAAUGGGCGGAAGCCGGAUGCAGCAACGCCGCGUGCGGGAUGACGGCCUUCGGGUUGUAAACCGCUUUCGCCUGUGACGAAGCGUGAGUGACGGUAAUGGGUAAAGAAGCACCGGCUAACUACGU